AUGCAGCUGACGAGUCCCAAAUAGGACGAAACGUCCGUCUGGGAU
This 45-nucleotide non-coding RNA is filed under the name Schistosoma mansoni. Lineage: Eukaryota; Metazoa; Platyhelminthes; Trematoda; Strigeidida; Schistosomatidae. The record is from RNAcentral.